AGUGAACGCUGGCGGUAGGCCUACCCCUGCACGUCGAACGGCAGCACAGUAAGAGCUUGCUCUUACGGGUGGCGAGUGGCGGACGGGUGAGGAAUACAUCGGAAUCUACUUUUUCGUGGGGGAUAACGUAGGGAAACUUACGCUAAUACCGCAUACGACCUACGGGUGAAGGCAGGGGAUCUUCGGACCUUGCGCGAUUGAAUGAGCCGAUGUCGGAUUAGCUAGUUGGCGGGGUAAAGGCCCACCAAGGCGACGAUCCGUAGCUGGUCUGAGAGGAUGAUCAGCCACACUGGAACUGAGACACGGUCCAGACUCCUACGGGAGGCAGCAGUGGGGAAUAUUGGACAAUGGGCGCAAGCCUGAUCCAGCCAUACCGCGUGGGUGAAGAAGGCCUUCGGGUUGUAAAGCCCUUUUGUUGGGAAAGAAAAGCAGCAGGUUAAUACCCCGCUGUUCUGACGGUACCCAAAGAAUAAGCACCGGCUAACUUCGUG
RNAcentral lists this ribosomal RNA (491 nucleotides) under uncultured bacterium. RNAcentral's name for it is "partial 16S ribosomal RNA". It matches the Rfam family "Bacterial small subunit ribosomal RNA", at positions 29 to 507 of the family's 1533-position model. The record is from RNAcentral.